AGAUGUAACGGGGCUAAACCAUGCACCGAAGCUGCGGCAGCGACACUUAUGUGUUGUUGGGUAGGGGAGCGUUCUGUAAGCCUGUGAAGGUGUGUCGUGAGGCAUGCUGGAGGUAUCAGAAGUGCGAAUGCUGACAUAAGUAACGAUAAAGCGGGUGAAAAGCCCGCUCGCCGGAAGACCAAGGGUUCCUGUCCAACGUUAAUCGGGGCAGGGUGAGUCGACCCCUAAGGCGAGGCCGAAAGGCGUAGUCGAUGGGAAACGGGUUAAUAUUCCCGUACUUGGUGUUACUGCGAAGGGGGGACGGAGAAGGCUAUGUUGGCCGGGCGACGGUUGUCCCGGUUUAAGCGUGUAGGUGUGUGUUCAAGGUAAAUCCGGUUCACUUUAACACUGAGGCGUGACGACGAGGCACUACGGUGCUGAAGCAACAAAUGCCCUGCUUCCAGGAAAAGCCUCUAAGCAUCAGGUAACAUCAAAUCGUACCCCAAACCGACACAGGUGGUCAGGUAGAGAAUACCAAGGCGCUUGAGAGAACUCGGGUGAAGGAACUAGGCAAAAUGGUGCCGUAACUUCGGGAGAAGGCACGCUGACAUGUAGGUGAAGUGAUUUACUCAUGGAGCUGAAGUCAGUCGAAGAUACCAGCUGGCUGCAACUGUUUAUUAAAAACACAGCACUGUGCAAACACGAAAGUGGACGUAUACGGUGUGACGCCUGCCCGGUGCCGGAAGGUUAAUUGAUGGGGUCAGCGCAAGCGAAGCUCCUGAUCGAAGCCCCGGUAAACGGCGGCCGUAACUAUAACGGUCCUAAGGUAGCGAAAUUCCUUGUCGGGUAAGUUCCGACCUGCACGAAUGGCGUAAUGAUGGCCAGGCUGUCUCCACCCGAGACUCAGUGAAAUUGAACUCGCUGUGAAGAUGCAGUGUACCCGCGGCAAGACGGAAAGACCCCGUGAACCUUUACUAUAGCUUGACACUGAACAUUGAGCCUUGAUGUGUAGGAUAGGUGGGAGGCUUUGAAGUGUGGACGCCAGUCUGCAUGGAGCCGACCUUGAAAUACCACCCUUUAAUGUUUGAUGUUCUAACGUGGACCCGUAAUCCGGGUUGCGGACAGUGUCUGGUGGGUAGUUUGACUGGGGCGGUCUCCUCCUAAAGAGUAACGGAGGAGCACGAAGGUUGGCUAAUCCUGGUCGGACAUCAGGAGGUUAGUGCAAUGGCAUAAGCCAGCUUGACUGCGAGCGUGACGGCGCGAGCAGGUGCGAAAGCAGGUCAUAGUGAUCCGGUGGUUCUGAAUGGAAGGGCCAUCGCUCAACGGAUAAAAGGUACUCCGGGGAUAACAGGCUGAUACCGCCCAAGAGUUCAUAUCGACGGCGGUGUUUGGCACCUCGAUGUCGGCUCAUCACAUCCUGGGGCUGAAGUAGGUCCCAAGGGUAUGGCUGUUCGCCAUUUAAAGUGGUACGCGAGCUGGGUUUAGAACGUCGUGAGACAGUUCGGUCCCUAUCUGCCGUGGGCGCUGGAGAACUGAGGGGGGCUGCUCCUAGUACGAGAGGACCGGAGUGGACGCAUCACUGGUGUUCGGGUUGUCAUGCCAAUGGCACUGCCCGGUAGCUAAAUGCGGAAGAGAUAAGUGCUGAAAGCAUCUAAGCACGAAACUUGCCCCGAGAUGAGUUCUCCCUGAGACUUUAGGUCUCCUGAAGGAACGUUGAAGACGACGACGUUGAUAGGCCGGGUGUGUAAGCGCAGCGAUGCGUUGAGCUAACCGGUACUAAUGAACCGUGAGGCUUAACCUU
RNAcentral lists this ribosomal RNA (1780 nucleotides) under Salmonella enterica subsp. enterica serovar Amager. RNAcentral's name for it is "bacterial LSU rRNA". It matches the Rfam family "Bacterial large subunit ribosomal RNA", at positions 1168 to 2925 of the family's 2925-position model. The record is from RNAcentral. Lineage: Bacteria; Pseudomonadati; Pseudomonadota; Gammaproteobacteria; Enterobacterales; Enterobacteriaceae.